UUUGUACUCCCUCCGUCCGGAAAUACUUGUCAUCCAAAUGAAUGAAAGGGGAUGUAUCUAGAUGUAUUUUAGUUCUAGAUACAUCCCUUUUUGUCCAUUUAAAUGACAAGUAUUUUCGGACGGAGGUAGUACUAA
Molecule: non-coding RNA, 135 nt
Organism: Triticum aestivum (bread wheat)
Lineage: Eukaryota; Viridiplantae; Streptophyta; Magnoliopsida; Poales; Poaceae
Source: Rfam